UACGGAGGGUGCGAGCGUUGUCCGGAAUCAUUGGGCGUAAAGGGCGCGUAGGUGGCUUCUUAAGCGUGCGGUGAAAGCCUGGGGCUCAACCCCGGGUCGGCCGUGCGAACUGGGGGGCUGGAGCACUGUAGAGGCGGGUGGAAUUCCGGGUGUAGCGGUGGAAUGCGUAGAGAUCCGGAAGAACACCAGUGGCGAAGGCGGCCCGCUGGGGGUGACCUGACGCUGAGGAGCGAAAGCGUGGGGAGCGAACAGG
Molecule: ribosomal RNA, 253 nt
Filed under: uncultured bacterium
Lineage: Bacteria
Description: partial 16S ribosomal RNA
Rfam family: Bacterial small subunit ribosomal RNA
Source: RNAcentral